RNAcentral lists this ribosomal RNA (506 nucleotides) under uncultured bacterium. Its description in RNAcentral is "partial 16S ribosomal RNA". It matches the Rfam family "Bacterial small subunit ribosomal RNA", at positions 30 to 523 of the family's 1533-position model. The record is from RNAcentral.
AUUGAACGCUGGCGGCAGGCCUAACACAUGCAAGUCGAACGGCAGCACAGAAGAGCUUGCUCUUUGGGUGGCGAGUGGCGGACGGGUGAGUAAUGUCUGGGAAACUGCCCGAUGGAGGGGGAUAACUACUGGAAACGGUAGCUAAUACCGCAUAACGUCGCAAGACCAAAGUGGGGGACCUUCGGGCCUCACACCAUCGGAUGUGCCCAGAUGGGAUUAGCUAGUAGGUGGGGUAAUGGCUCACCUAGGCGACGAUCCCUAGCUGGUCUGAGAGGAUGACCAGCCACACUGGAACUGAGACACGGUCCAGACUCCUACGGGAGGCAGCAGUGGGGAAUAUUGCACAAUGGGCGCAAGCCUGAUGCAGCCAUGCCGCGUGUAUGAAGAAGGCCUUCGGGUUGUAAAGUACUUUCAGCGGGGAGGAAGGCGGUGAGGUUAAUAACCUUGCCGAUUGACGUUACCCGCGGAAGAAGCACCGGCUAACUCCGUGCCAGCCGCCGCCGUAA